Molecule: ribosomal RNA, 159 nt
Filed under: Diploderma polygonatum
Lineage: Eukaryota; Metazoa; Chordata; Lepidosauria; Squamata; Agamidae
Description: partial 12S rRNA
Source: RNAcentral
CGCCGCGGUUACACUGAAGGCCCAAAAUAACACCCCCGGCAAAUAUGGCUAAAAACUACCAACCACUAAGAAUGAACUAAACUUAACACGUGAAACAAUACCCCACAGACAACCAAAAAUCUUACAUACAAGGUCUUUUGACCCAUAAAAGUUAGGGCA